UACGUAGGGGGCAAGCGUUGUCCGGAUUUACUGGGCGUAAAGCGCGCGCAGGCGGCAUGGCAAGUAAGGUGUGAAAUCUCCCUGCCUAACGGGGAGGGUGCAUUUUAGACGUGCCAAGCUAGAGGGACGGUAGAGGGGGGUAGAAUUGCUGGUGUAGCGGUGAAAUGCGUAGAGAUCAGCAGGAAUACCCGUGGCGAAGGCGGCCCCCUGGGCCGAACCUGACGCUGAGGCGCGAAGGCUAGGGAGCGAAGAGG
This 254-nucleotide ribosomal RNA is filed under the name uncultured bacterium. Its description in RNAcentral is "partial 16S ribosomal RNA". It matches the Rfam family "Bacterial small subunit ribosomal RNA", at positions 524 to 776 of the family's 1533-position model. The record is from RNAcentral.